RNAcentral lists this ribosomal RNA (960 nucleotides) under Shewanella baltica. Its description in RNAcentral is "bacterial SSU rRNA". It matches the Rfam family "Bacterial small subunit ribosomal RNA", at positions 63 to 1015 of the family's 1533-position model. Lineage: Bacteria; Pseudomonadati; Pseudomonadota; Gammaproteobacteria; Alteromonadales; Shewanellaceae. The record is from RNAcentral.
UGGGCGGCAAGUAAAAGCUUGCUUCUUUGCCGGCGAGCGGCGGACGGGUGAGUAAUGCCUAGGGAUCUGCCCAGUCGAGGGGGAUAACAGUUGGAAACGACUGCUAAUACCGCAUACCCCCUACGGGGGAAAGGAGGGGACCUUCGGGCCUUCCGCGAUUGGAUGAACCUAGGGGGGAUUAGCUAGGUGGUGAGGUAAUGGCUCACCAGGGCGACGAUCCCUAUCUGUUCUGAGAGGAUGAUCACCCACACUGGGACUGAGACACGGCCCACACUCCUACGGGAGGCAGCAGUGGGGAAUAUUGCACAGUGGGGGAAACCCUGAUGCACCCAUGCCGCGUGUGUGAAGAAGGCCUUCGGGUUGUAAAGCACUUUCAGUAGGGAGGAAAGGUAGCAUCUUAAUACGCUGUUGCUGUGACGUUACCUACAGAAGAAGGACCGGCUAACUCCGUGCCAGCAGCCGCGGUAAUACGGAGGGUCCGAGCGUUAAUCGGAAUUACUGGGCGUAAAGCGUGCGCAGGCGGUUUGUUAAGCGAGAUGUGAAAGCCCCGGGCUCAACCUGGGAAUUGCAUUUCAAACUGGCGAACUAGAGUCUUGUAGAGGGGGGUAGAAUUCCAGGUGUAGCGGUGAAAUGCGUAGAGAUCUGGAGGAAUACCGGUGGCGAAGGCGGCCCCCUGGACAAAGACUGACGCUCAGGCACGAAAGCGUGGGGAGCAAACAAGAUUAUAUACUCUGGUAGUCCACGCCGUAAACGAUGUCUACUCAGAGUUUGGUGUCUUGAACACUGGUCUCUCAAGCUAACGCAUUAAGUACACCGCGUGGAGAGUACGGCCGCAAGGAUAACACUCAUAUGUAUUGACGGGGGCCCGCACAAGCGGUGGAGCAUGUGGUUUAUUUCGAUGCCACGCGAAGAACCUUACCUACUCUUGACAUCCACAGAAUUCUCUAGAGAUAUCUUAGU